Molecule: ribosomal RNA, 253 nt
Filed under: uncultured bacterium
Lineage: Bacteria
Description: partial 16S ribosomal RNA
Rfam family: Bacterial small subunit ribosomal RNA
Source: RNAcentral
GACGAACCGAGCGAACGUUGUUCGGAAUAACUGGGCUUAAAGGGCGCGUAGGCGGGCUGUCAAGUUUGGGGUGAAAUGCCACGGCUCAACCGUGGAACUGCCUCAAAUACUGACGGUCUCGAGGGAGGUAGGGGCGAGCGGAACAGACGGUGGAGCGGUGAAAUGCGUAGAUAUCGUCUGGAACGCCGAAGGUGAAAACAGCUCGCUGGGGCUGCGCUGACGCUGAGACACGAAAGCCAGGGGAGCGAACGGG